RNAcentral lists this ribosomal RNA (392 nucleotides) under uncultured eukaryote. RNAcentral's name for it is "partial 18S ribosomal RNA". It matches the Rfam family "Eukaryotic small subunit ribosomal RNA", at positions 592 to 976 of the family's 1831-position model. The record is from RNAcentral.
CAAUAGCGUAUAUUAAAGUUGUUGCAGUUAAAAAGCUCGUAGUUGAACCUGAGAGUUUGUCCGCUCGGCGGCCUUUCAUGGGUCUGCAUGGGUGUGUUUUACAAAUUCUUCUGGCCGGGGUUCUGCGUCAUUUGCCCUUGACUGGGUGGGCGCAGGAGGUCGGCCCUUUUACUUUGAACAAAUUAGAGUGUUUAAAGCAGGCCACUGCCUUUGAAUACAUUAGCAUGGAAUAAUGGAAUAGGACUUGGGUUCUAUUUUGUUGGUUUCUAGGACCGAAGUAAUGAUUAAUAGGGAUAGUUGGGGGCAUUCAUAUUUCAUUGUCAGAGGUGAAAUUCUUGGAUUUAUGAAAGAUGAACUUCUGCGAAAGCAUUUGCCAAGGAUGUUUNCAUUAA